CUACGGGGUGCUGCAGUGGGGAAUAUUGCACAAUGGAGGAAACUCUGAUGCAGCAACGCCGCGUGAGGGAAGAAGGUUUUCGGAUUGUAAACCUCUGUCCUCGGUGAAGAAAAAAAUGACGGUAGCCGAGGAGGAAGCCACGGCUAACUACGUGCCAGCAGCCGCGGUAAUACGUAGGUGGCAAGCGUUGUCCGGAUUUACUGGGUGUAAAGGGUGCGCAGGCGGGACUGCAAGUUGGAUGUGAAAUGCCGAGGCUCAACCUCGGAGCUGCAUCCAAAACUGUGGUUCUUGAGAGAUGUAGAGGUAAGCGGAAUUCCGAGUGUAGCGGUGAAAUGCGUAGAUAUUCGGAGGAACACCAGUGGCGAAGGCGGCUUACUGGGCAUUUUCUGACGCUGAGGCACGAAAGUGUGGGGAGCAAACAGGAUUAGAUACCCCCGUAGUC
This 442-nucleotide ribosomal RNA is filed under the name uncultured bacterium. Its description in RNAcentral is "partial 16S ribosomal RNA". It matches the Rfam family "Bacterial small subunit ribosomal RNA", at positions 339 to 795 of the family's 1533-position model. The record is from RNAcentral.